RNAcentral lists this unclassified non-coding RNA (2994 nucleotides) under Hevea brasiliensis (rubber tree). Lineage: Eukaryota; Viridiplantae; Streptophyta; Magnoliopsida; Malpighiales; Euphorbiaceae. The record is from RNAcentral.
GUAAAAUCUGUACACCAGGCAGGCAAGCAGGGUGAGCUCUGCUCUUCUCACUCAGAGUGUCAAAAAAACAAAGAGCAGAGAGGGAGAGAGAGAGAGUCAGACCCACUAGAAAGUAGAAAACAGAUGAGAUCCAUUCUUUCUCUCUCUACUAAACAUUCUUCUCUUUUCCCUUUUUAAGCUUUUCUUUCUCUUUUUUGUUUGGGGAAAAAUCUCACAAUCUGGAAGUCCAACUAAAACCUCACACUAUUAAGAAAAACCCACAAAAGAUAGUCUCUGUGUUUGUGGUUUUGCUUUUCUUCUUUUUAAUUUUUAAUUAAGAUAGUUAUUUCUCUUUUUUGGGUUUGUGUAUAGUGAUUUCUAGCUCAUAUUUUUUGACUGUGGACAGCUCCAAUUCCAAAUCAUUACUUGGUUUUCCUUUUGUCUUCAAAAAGCACUCUCUCUUCGAUUAGCGUAUGCACGUCCCUUCAUUGCUCUAAUUAAUCCCAUUUCUCCUUUUAGGGUUUUUCUUCCUUUGUAUACUUUGCUCAGAACCAGGAAAGAAAAUGUGGGUUGGUGUGGGAAUGUGAUGAGGAAUGAGAAAUGGGGUGCGUCUUUGGGAGAGAGGUGACUCCGAGGAAGGCGGCGGCGGCGGCGGAGAGGGAAGGGAGAAGAGAGAGGGAGGAAGCUAGGGUUGCGAGAGCUCAGGAGGAAAGUAGUCAGGUUAGAAAUGGAGAAGAGAAUCGGAAGGAGAAAAAUGAGGUGGAGGUGGAAGAGGAGGAGGUGAGGGCGCGACCUCGGGGUGAGAGGAGGAGGUCAUCUAGACCGAAUCCAAGGUUGAGUAAUCCUCCCAAGCACGUGCAAGGUGAACAGGUGGCGGCUGGAUGGCCCUCUUGGCUCUCCGCCGUCGCCGGUGAAGCUAUCAAUGGAUGGACCCCACGACGUGCUGAUACUUUUGAGAAGAUUGACAAGAUUGGGCAGGGUACUUAUAGUAAUGUGUACAAAGCUAGGGAUACUAUGACAGGGAAAAUUGUUGCAUUGAAGAAGGUUCGGUUUGACAAUUUGGAGCCGGAGAGUGUAAAAUUUAUGGCUAGGGAAAUUUUGAUUUUGCGCCGUUUAGAUCAUCCCAAUGUUGUAAAACUGGAAGGUUUGGUCACCUCAAGGAUGUCUUGUAGUCUGUACCUUGUUUUUGAAUACAUGGAGCAUGAUUUGGCUGGACUAGCAGCAAGCCCAAAUAUCAAUUUCACAGAGCCUCAGGUCAAAUGUUAUAUGCAUCAGUUGUUAUCUGGCCUUGAACACUGUCACAACCACCAUGUGCUGCAUCGUGAUAUUAAGGGAUCAAAUCUUCUUAUUGGCAAUGAUGGAAUCCUUAGAAUUGCUGAUUUUGGGUUGGCUUCCUUUUUUGAUCCUAAUCACAAGCAGCCCAUGACUAGCAGGGUAGUUACCUUAUGGUAUCGACCCCCUGAACUGCUCCUUGGGGCCACUGACUAUGGUGUGGGUGUGGACCUUUGGAGUGCUGGUUGCAUUCUUGCUGAGCUAUUGGCCGGGAAGCCAAUCAUGCCUGGUCGCACUGAGGUGGAGCAAUUGCACAAGAUAUUUAAACUAUGUGGCUCUCCUUCUGAAGAAUACUGGAAAAAGUCAAAAUUGCCUCAUGCAACCAUAUUUAAGCCCCAACAAUCAUACAAGCGAUGUAUAGCAGAGACUUUUAAAGACUUCCCACCAUCUUCAUUGCCCCUAAUUGAGACCCUUCUCGCAAUUGACCCAGCUGAACGUCAAACUGCUACUGCUGCAUUGAAGAGUGAAUUCUUCAGUACCAAGCCUUAUGCUUGUGAGCCUUCUAGUCUUCCUAAUUAUCCUCCAAGCAAGGAGAUGGAUGCGAAACUACGUGAUGAAGAAGCUCGAAGAUUGAGAGCUGCCGGAAAGGCUAAUGCUGAUGGUGUGAAGAAGUCACGUCCACGUGAUCGAGCUGUAAAGGCAUUUCCUGCUCCAGAAGCCAAUGCUGAGCUUCAAGCCAAUCUUGAUCGGCGGCGUUUGAUAACACAUGCAAAUGCUAAGAGCAAGAGUGAGAAAUUUCCUCCACCACAUCAAGAUGGAACACUUGGUUAUCCUUUGGGCUCUUCACAUCACAUUGAUCCUAUCUUUGAUCCCCCUGAUGUCCCAUUCAGUUCCACAAAUUUCUCAUAUUCAAAAGUACCCAUCCAGACAUGGUCAGGCCCAUUGGUGGACCGAGCUUCAGUUGGUGCUCCAAGAAGAAAGAAACAGAAAGAUAGAAGUUCUGCUCAGGUGAAAGAGAAGGAAGGCAUGUAAUAUAAUUUCUGCUCAUUCGUGAGACUUUUCAUGAGGCUGCAAAAGCUGCAGAUCCAGCCUUUCAUGUAUCGUUCGGGGAAAGCCAGUUAAACUUCAAGGAGAGGUAAAAUAUCUUUAAAUUCAUUUUUUCUUUGUCCUUGUUCUAUUAUUUUGUAUUGCGAGAAGUUGAUCUAGUAUUGUAUAUGUUCUUUUGCUUUCUUUUGAAAAACUCUAUGUAGGUUAGUGGAAAAAAUUAAUAAAUGUGUUGGGAACUCGGAAUUUUGUGUUUCAGGUAUUUACUCUGAUUUUGUUAGUUCUUGAAGGAUUCCUAUAUAUUCCAGUUGUUACUCUUAAGGAUUUUCCUCAAGAGCUGUAUGUUCCCAUGUAAUAAGUAUUCCAGCUCAUGGAUAUCAAGGUCUGCAGUUGCAGAGUGAAUAUGUUAAUUAUUAGCAGAACAAAAUUACAGAGACAUCAUAAUUGAGGAUAAAUUUAUGACCUUCCAAAUUCCAAUGCUUUCAACUGUACAACGUGCACUGAUUGUCUUCUUGUUGCUGGUUAGUAGUGAGACAGCCCAACAGGUUAUUCUGUUGCCUAGAUUGUAACAAUGCUGUUCUCAUUUGCCCUAAGAUACGAUGGUGAAAGGCCACUUCAGAAAGCUGCUUUUGUCGCCCUUUGGUGAAGGUAUAAAAGGAUGUUAUAAAUGCAAUUAAUUGUUACCGUUUUAUAUGAAAA